AGCGUAGGCGGCGGAGCAAGUCAGAAGUGAAAGCCCGGGGCUCAACCCCGGGACGGCUUUCGAAACUGCCCUGCUUGAUUUCAGGAGAGGUAAGCGGAAUUCCUAGUGUAGCGGUGAAAUGCGUAGAUAUUAGGAGGAACACCAGUGGCGAAGGCGGCUUACUGGACGGUAACUGACGUUGAGGCUCGAAAGCGUGGGGAGCAAACA
Molecule: ribosomal RNA, 207 nt
Filed under: uncultured bacterium
Lineage: Bacteria
Description: partial 16S ribosomal RNA
Rfam family: Bacterial small subunit ribosomal RNA
Source: RNAcentral